GAAGCAGCCUUCAACCAGAAGUUAAUGGAGAGCUGGACACCCAGAAUUUUAUGAAGUUUGAUGAGGUAUUUCACAAAAGUCAGGGAGCUAGCUAAAUUUGAUGAAGUUAAUGUAUGACUCCAUGAGUUUUCAGCUAGCUAACGUUAUGCCGAAAUCUAAAUGUUAUCCUUACUGCUAUACUUGUGUUAAGGACUCAUUUUUUUUAAUUAGAAUAUUGGUGAUGUGUGAAUUGCCUCAUCGAAAAGGUUAAGUUUUCUGCACCACACCCUCUCACAUGCAGGUUUGAUUAUUUUUGUUGGUCAAAGUACGUAAAAAUAUUUUGUUGGGUGGUGUUGGUGAAACUCGAAUAAGGAUCUGUGCUUCCUAUGUAACCAUGGGAAGUGUGCAGACCCCCUCAUAUAAGAGUUCUAUUCCUUUAUGCAGGUUGCCCUUCAUAAGAUAUAAGUCACACAGUAGGCAUGUGUAUAACCUUUUACAAUAGCAACUUCUUGAAGCCCAUUUUUUUCUGAAACAAAUUACACCAACCAUGAUUGGUUAUUCUCAUACACAGUAGCAUGUGUUUCCUCAAUUUCGCGUUCUCUUUUAUACGUCUUGCAAGUUGUUGACGAUUUGCUGAAGUUCGAACUCGAUAGCUAUGGGCAUGCAGUGAAGUUAGGUUUAAAAGGGGCCAAGAGAUGGGAAAUGUGUGAUUCUGCAGAAAUAGAGGAGUUAGGCAAGCAAUAAGAGAGAUUGAUGCUAAAGAACUAGUUUUGGUUUCAGAUAAACAAUUUUCCAGAGUUCUCCAAGAAUAAUAGAUAUAAAAAAUGUGUGUUAGGAGGGAAGGUCCUCUGAAACCAAGAAUGAUUCUCAGAAUCAAUUUGUCUCUCUACUUUCGUGCAACUUCUUCAUUUUUACAGAGACAGGCACAUUUCCACAUUUCUGCAUAUUUUUCUUUACUCAAGAACUAGUUGGCCCUUUUUCAAUCCUAAUUUCAUCUGAUAGCCGCAGUUCUCUAGUUUGAAUGUCAACAACUUGUCGACUACCUUGAAUACUAUCCAUUCAACCCCAGAAUAAAUGAACAGUGCAGUUGAGGGGACACACUGAGUUGUGUACAACUAUAACCAUCAUAGGAUUUUUACUAUUUGUUUGAGUAAGAUAAUGCUCUUCAAGAAACUGUCAUUGCAGCAGCUUGUGAUCAUACCUACUGUGUGACUUGUAUCCUUAGGUAGGCAACCUAUAGAAAGGAGCCGACAUGCCACUUUUUUUGGGUUUACUUCUUUUUUUCUUAGGCCAAGCACAUACAGAAUUUUGUUGAUGUGUAAUAUUCAGACUCAAAUCUAGGAUCUGCGUUUACUUUGGUACAGUGUUGAAGUUUGAAUCGCCUCAUUUCUUGAGGUUUAGAUUAUAAGAGUGUGCACUUUUGUUUAUUUAUUUACAUCUGCAAAACGUCCCCUAAUACCAUUUUCAAAAGACUUUUCUCU
RNAcentral lists this long non-coding RNA (1460 nucleotides) under Nicotiana benthamiana. RNAcentral's name for it is "long non-coding RNA (NBEN_LNC036825)". Lineage: Eukaryota; Viridiplantae; Streptophyta; Magnoliopsida; Solanales; Solanaceae. The record is from RNAcentral.